GGGUCAGUAGGUUGGUCGUGCCACCGGUACGUACUGGUCUCACUGAUUCCUCCUUCCUGAAGAACCGUAAUGCCAUUAAUUUGGUGUUGCGGGGAAACAGGACUGUUACUUUGAAAAAAUUAGAGUGUUUAAAGUAAGCUAACGCUUGAAUACAUUAGCAUGGAAUAAUGAAAUAGGACGAUCGAUCCUAUUUUGUUGGUUUCUAGGAUUGACGUA
This 216-nucleotide ribosomal RNA is filed under the name Glomeromycotina sp. Its description in RNAcentral is "partial small subunit ribosomal RNA". The stretch from base 40 to 216 matches the Rfam family "Eukaryotic small subunit ribosomal RNA", at positions 686 to 864 of the family's 1831-position model. The record is from RNAcentral. Lineage: Eukaryota; Fungi; Glomeromycota.